AUGGUUAAGCUAAUAAGAGCACACGGAGGAUGCCUAGGCGCCAGGAGCCGACGAAGGACGUGGCGAACAACGAAACUGCCUCGGGGAGCUGUAAGCAAGCUUUGAUCCGGGGGUGUCCGAAUGGGGAAACCCAGCUGUGGUAAUUCGCAGUUACUCAUACCUGAAUACAUAGGGUAUGUAGAGGCAGACCAGGGGAACUGAAACAUCUAAGUACCCUGAGGAAGAGAAAACAAUAGUGAUUCCGUCAGUAGCGGCGAGCGAACGCGGAACAGCCUAAACCAAGGGGCUUGCCUCUUGGGGUUGUGGGACGUCUCACAUGGAGUUACAAAGGAAUAUGGUAGGUGAAGAGGUCUGGAAAGGCCCGCGAUAGAGGUAAAAGCCCUGUAACCUAAACUGUGUUCUCUCCGAGACGGAUCCCGAGUAGUGCGGGGCACGUGAAACCCCGUAUGAAUCCAGCAGGACCAUCUGCUAAGGCUAAAUACUACCUGGCGACCGAUAGUGAAACAGUACCGUGAGGGAAAGGUGAAAAGCACCCCGGAAGGGGAGUGAAAUAGAACC
RNAcentral lists this ribosomal RNA (558 nucleotides) under Paenibacillus sp. P46E. RNAcentral describes it as "bacterial LSU rRNA". It matches the Rfam family "Bacterial large subunit ribosomal RNA", at positions 1 to 550 of the family's 2925-position model. Lineage: Bacteria; Bacillati; Bacillota; Bacilli; Caryophanales; Paenibacillaceae. The record is from RNAcentral.